CAGCCGCCGCGGGAAUACGUAGGGUGCAAGCGUUAAUCGGAAUUACUGGGCGUAAAGCGUGCGCAGGCGGUUAUAUAAGACAGAUGUGAAAUCCCCGGGCUCAACCUGGGAACUGCAUUUGUGACUGUAUAGCUAGAGUACGGCAGAGGGGGAUGGAAUUCCGCGUGUAGCAGUGAAAUGCGUAGAUAUGUGGAGGAACACCGAUGGCGAAGGCAGCCUCCUGGGCCAAUACUGACGCUCAUGCACGAAAGCGUGGGGAGCAAACAGGAUUAGAUACCCCCGUAGUCCCUGUCUCUUAUAC
RNAcentral lists this ribosomal RNA (301 nucleotides) under uncultured bacterium. Its description in RNAcentral is "partial 16S ribosomal RNA". It matches the Rfam family "Bacterial small subunit ribosomal RNA", at positions 509 to 807 of the family's 1533-position model. The record is from RNAcentral.